Molecule: ribosomal RNA, 418 nt
Filed under: uncultured Methanothermobacter sp.
Lineage: Archaea; Methanobacteriati; Methanobacteriota; Methanobacteria; Methanobacteriales; Methanobacteriaceae
Description: bacterial SSU rRNA
Rfam family: Archaeal small subunit ribosomal RNA
Source: RNAcentral
GUGCACCAGGCGCGAAACCUCCGCAAUGCACGCAAGUGCGACGGGGGAACCCCAAGUGCCACUCUUAACGGGGUGGCUUUUCAGAAGUGUAAAAAGCUUCUGGAAUAAGGGCUGGGCAAGACCGGUGCCAGCCGCCGCGGUAACACCGGCAGCUCAAGUGGUAGCCGCUUUUAUUGGGCCUAAAGCGUCCGUAGCCGGUCUGAUGAGUCUCUGGUGAAAUCCCACAGCUUAACUGUGGGAAUUGCUGGAGAUACUAUCAUGACUCGAGGUCGGGAGAGGCUGGAGGUACUCCCAGGGUAGGGGUGAAAUCCUGUAAUCCUGGGAGGACCACCUGUGGCGAAGGCGUCCAGCUGGAACGAACCUGACGGUGAGGGACGAAAGCCAGGGGCGCGAACCGGAUUAGAUACCCGUGUAGUCC